AUCCAAUGAAUGCGCACCACAAAGGCUGGCUUUAAUAGAUCUCAGCAAAGUAGGAGUAUAUAUUUCGUGAAAACUCCUUCUCGAACCGACUUUGAAAAUCAUUUCUCCGCAGGUAUUGUUCAUCCCUGAAAGAAGUUGGAAAAUUUCAUGACUCCACUGUCCAGUGAGGGUAUCGAGCCGUACGCAGUUCACCGCGAGCUUUACGAACCGGAUUUGAUUUGAUUGUGGCAGAUAUGAGACGGAAGCGAGCCGUUGAGUCCAUUGGAAGAAAAAUCAAGACUUUGCAUCUGUAGUGUUUUUAAUUUUCCUCGGAAAUCUUUUAUCUGAAAUUCUAAUCAUUAGGAGGGACAUCCAAGAAGGAAGAAGUGAAAACGCAUUUGUGGGGAAAAUUAAGAAAGAAGUAAGUAAUUUCGUCUCCUCCGUUUCCUGCAAGGUUUAACGCGUCACCACACUUUUCAAUGGAUUACAUACUUGCGUUUUAUCCUUAAUAGGUUACUAUUGUACAGGUUGUCUGCAACAAGUUCAACUGUUUCUUUUACCCAAAAAAAAUAAAAGUUCAACUGUAUCACCAAGGUUAAAGGAGUUGAACUUUUUGGUGAGUUAUUUGAGUCUUUCGUGAAUCAUCUUAGUUUUCUUAUUGGCUGAGGGAUAAUACUCAGUGACUGCACGAGUGCAAAUGUAUAAGAAUUACAAGUAGAACUGGCGCUUUUACAGCUAAAUUUUUGGGAUGUCCGAGUUGAGAACUCGCACGCAUUAGCUUUCAAGGAACAAAAAGAUGAGAAAGUCAUCUCAUGAAACUGGUUCUUUUGCCAGGAUGGAAUGCUCGGGUAUCACAUUUUUAGAAGCAUAAGCAUCCUACCACGUCGAUUGAGAUAUGGGAUUUAUCCUUAGAGAAGGAUGAAGCAGAGUUCAACGCAUAUACCAAGGAACAACUGAACAGGUUAAAACACCUUAAGACUUUUCUUUCACCAGAAAAUCAGGGACAAAGACUUGAAGGAACUUCAUAGGCACAACCAGAUUCCAGGGAUGAUAAUCUCAACUGCUUCUGAUGGUUUCAAACAGUUUUGAUGCCGUACAACAUGUAGAACACUUUUCCUGAUCUCGGUUCCUAAGAAGAUGGAGUCUCUGAAAAAAAAAAUUAAGUGUAGUCUCUUGGGUUUUGUAUUGUCAUCUCUCUUUUCUACUGAAAUUUUCUUUCAUUGAUAGCAAGUUAUAUGAAUUGUACUCUUUCACAACUUAACGUUUGACAAAUAAUUCUUGAAAAUCA
Molecule: long non-coding RNA, 1267 nt
Organism: Brassica napus (rape)
Lineage: Eukaryota; Viridiplantae; Streptophyta; Magnoliopsida; Brassicales; Brassicaceae
Exons: 6
Source: RefSeq, a predicted model, not a curated record